This is a small nuclear RNA of Sorex fumeus (smoky shrew), 107 nucleotides long. Lineage: Eukaryota; Metazoa; Chordata; Mammalia; Eulipotyphla; Soricidae. The record is from RefSeq and is a predicted model, not a curated record.
GUGCUCACUUUGGCAGCACAUAUACUAAAAUUGGAAUGAUACAGAGAAGAUUAGCAUGGCCCCUAGGCAAGGAUGACAAACAAAUUCAUGGACUAUUCAGAAAGAGA